Molecule: long non-coding RNA, 1264 nt
Filed under: Ficedula albicollis (Collared flycatcher)
Lineage: Eukaryota; Metazoa; Chordata; Aves; Passeriformes; Muscicapidae
Description: lncRNA (ENSFALG00000025574.1)
Source: RNAcentral
AAAAGGAUAAAAAUACUUAUUUCAAAGCCAAGAAAAUAAUGGCAGCAGAGCACGGUAAGCAGUGCAAAACAUGCCUGAGAAAGUUAUGGGAUUCCAAGACGUGGCUUCCACCCAAGAAUCCUACAAACAUGGCACAAGAAAACCCAGAUAAAGACAUUUUAAAACAGCCCCUCUAAACAAAAAUUAACAGAAGGAGCUGAACUAGAAAAUGUUCACAUGUAAUUCCAGAGCAGAUGGACUGUAAGUCUCUGAAACAGAAGGUCUCACCCACAGAAGCUUCUCCCCUUCCUUGGAGUACGAGCGACAACAAAAGCAGGUUUGUGGGUCUGGAUGUGCUCGUGCUCUCUUGCCUCUGUGAGCCCCAGACACCAGUGGAGGUUUAACUGUGUUCUCUGUGGCACAGAGUGUCCCUUCAGCCUGCCUGGGGGUCAGCUCCAGGUGCUCUGUAGGACCAGUGCCCACGGGGGGACCCUGCCCUGCCCGGGAUAGGGGACACAGGGACUCUGCCAACUCUGCUUAAAUCAUCCUGGCACAUAAAGCUGCAAAGCAGGAGUUUAGAUCCAAUAUUCCUUGGUAUCUGGAGCUGAAAUCACACUUUAACCAGCUCUUCAUUCAGAGAGAGCUGGACCAUUGCUGUGCAGCCCAGUUUGGGGAGGCAGGGGCUGGGAGGGAGGCACAGCCACGCUCUGAACUCUGUUGCACAAUAAUGGUGCUCUGGGGCUCUUGUGCAAAGCAGAAAGAAAACAUGUUUUUCAUUCUAAAAGGCUCUCCACAAACAGGACUCUGUUGACCUGAAGAGCAACUUUGUGAAGUGAAAGCUUCCAGGUGAUGUAAGCUGGUGCUAUGGAUCUUACUGGGAGGACAGAGGGGAUGUGAAACAUCCAAACUUCUCUGGGAAGCUGCCUGGAUUUUUAUCUUUCCAUAUAAUUUAAUUGCAGGAGGUUAGGUAACAUGCAGCCCUGUGGUUUGGAAACCCCAAAAAUCCUGCAUGAAUUCAGCCAGCUCUGGGCACCUCAACCUUGUAACCAACCAAGUUCUGAACAGACCAAAACCAACUGCAGGGGAUUUAUGCUUAGGCCACAAUUUGCUGGAGGCACAAAGAAGACACCAAGGAGGUCUCACUGCCUGUUCAGCCUACUCAGGUGCUUUUCUCUGCAUGUUACACCCACUUUUGGAGCAUGCUGAGGAGAGGAAACUGGGCUGGAUGAACACCUGGCCUGAUCCAAACUGCACUCUGUUCUCAGGAUUUUGCUCUCGGGUGUAG